RNAcentral lists this long non-coding RNA (929 nucleotides) under Homo sapiens (human). RNAcentral's name for it is "non-protein coding lnc-TNPO3-1:33". The record is from RNAcentral. Lineage: Eukaryota; Metazoa; Chordata; Mammalia; Primates; Hominidae.
AGAAGCAGGCACCAGCUAGUGUGCGAAUUCAGAGGAAGGAGACCGAAUCCAGCCUGGGCACAGGAGGGAAAGCGUCCUGGAGGCAGCUGGUCCCCAGGUGGCCCUUAAGGAUAAAGAAAAGUUAGCUUGGUGAAGGGCUGAGGAAGGCAGUGAGCCUUCUAGGAAGAGGGGAGAAAUCAAGCACAGGCGUGGCCCUGACACGGAGGGUGAGUGUGCAAUGUUGGCUGGGAAGGUGUGAGAGGUGACGAGGGGCCAGAGAUAGGUGGGGCACAUGGGUGUGGCUAUGCUCUGUCCACGGAAGACCAGAAAGGGCGGGCUAAGGAACUGAGGCCUCACCCUGCCUGGGGCACUGGGAGCCACUGGGGAAUCUAGGCAGAGAUCUGACCCCAUCUAGUCUUGGCUCGGGAGAGAGCCCUCAGAGGGCAUGUGGACAAGGAAGGCGGGCAGGCUGAGGCUGGGGUCCAGGCCAGCUCCCACCAGGCCUCCCUCUUCUCAACCCCUCAACCCUAGGCUGCACAGAAGGUGGCUCUCACUGGGAACAUGGCCAAGAGUGGACAACACCUGGGGACCCCUGCCGAAUCUGCCGGUGCCUGGAGGGUCACAUCCAGUGCCGCCAGCGAGAAUGUGCCAGCCUGUGUCCAUACCCAGCCCGGCCCCUCCCAGGCACCUGCUGCCCUGUGUGUGAUGGCUGUUUCCUAAACGGGCGGGAGCACCGCAGCGGGGAGCCUGUGGGCUCAGGGGACCCCUGCUCGCACUGCCGCUGUGCUGUGAGUGUGGCUGCCUGGCAGGGAGGGCCUGGCUCCGGGGCCUGCCUCUGGCGUGCUGACCAGGCCCUGUUGGCAGAAUGGGAGUGUCCAGUGUGAGCCUCUGCCCUGCCCGCCAGUGCCCUGCAGACACCCAGGCAAGAUCCCUGGGCAGUGCUGCCCUGU